GAUGAACGCUGGCGGCGUGCCUAAUACAUGCAAGUCGAGCGAACGGACGAGAAGCUUGCUUCUCUGAUGUUAGCGGCGGACGGGUGAGUAACACGUGGAUAACCUACCUAUAAGACUGGGAUAACUUCGGGAAACCGUAGCUAAUACCGGAUAAUAUUUUGAACCGCAUGGUUCAAAAGUGAAAGACUGUCUUGCUGUCACUUAUAGAUGGAUCCGCGCUGCAUUAGCUAGUUGGUAAGGUAACGGCUUACCAAGGCAACGAUGCAUAGCCGACCUGAGAGGGUGAUCGGCCACACUGGAACUGAGACACGGUCCAGACUCCUACGGGAGGCAGCAGUAGGGAAUCUUCCGCAAUGGGCGAAAGCCUGACGGAGCAACGCCGCGUGAGUGAUGAAGGUCUUCGGAUCGUAAAACUCUGUUAUUAUGGAAGAACAUAUGUGUAAGUAACUGUGCACAUCUUGACGGUACCUAAUCAGAAAGCCACGGCUAACUACGUG
RNAcentral lists this ribosomal RNA (497 nucleotides) under uncultured bacterium. RNAcentral describes it as "partial 16S ribosomal RNA". It matches the Rfam family "Bacterial small subunit ribosomal RNA", at positions 28 to 507 of the family's 1533-position model. The record is from RNAcentral.